UGACAAUGUUUUUAAUAAAUGCUUUUAACUACCAUGGAAGGCAGCAGUGGGGAAUUUUUCUGCAAUGGGCAAGGCCUGAUGAAGCAAUGUCAUGUGGAGGUAGAAGGCCCACAAGUUGUGAACUUCGUUUCUCGGAGAAGAAGCAAUGACGACAGCUAGGGAAUAAGCAUCAAUCAACUCUGUGUCAAUAGUCAUGAUAAUAUAGAUGAUGCAA
Molecule: non-coding RNA, 214 nt
Filed under: Vitis vinifera (wine grape)
Lineage: Eukaryota; Viridiplantae; Streptophyta; Magnoliopsida; Vitales; Vitaceae
Description: Bacterial small subunit ribosomal RNA
Rfam family: Bacterial small subunit ribosomal RNA
Source: Rfam by way of RNAcentral